Molecule: ribosomal RNA, 279 nt
Filed under: uncultured bacterium
Lineage: Bacteria
Description: partial 16S ribosomal RNA
Rfam family: Bacterial small subunit ribosomal RNA
Source: RNAcentral
UGCCAGCCGCCGCGGUAAUACGGAGGGUACGAACGUUAAUCGGAAUUACUGGGCGUAAAGCGCGCGUAGGCGGUUUGAUAAGUGGGAUGUGAAAGCCCCGGGCUCAACCUGGGAACUGCAUUCCAAACUGUCAAACUAGAGUGUGGUAGAGGAAAGUGGAAUUUCUGGUGUAGCGGUGAAAUGCGUAGAUAUCAGAAGGAACAUCAAUGGCGAAGGCAGCUUUCUGGGCCAAUACUGACGCUGAGGUACGAAAGCGUGGGUAGCAAACAGGAUUAGAUA